AUGCAGGCAAAUAUAUCUAUUACCUUUUAAUGGUUAGGGACUUGGAAACCCUUUUUGCUGUAAUAUUAAAUGUACAUUUUCACAGCUAUUGGUCUAUUUCCUUUUGUAGUUGAUCUCUGAAUUUAAAAUUUUAGUUAAAAAUAUGAGAA
Long non-coding RNA from Oxyura jamaicensis (ruddy duck), 149 nucleotides. RefSeq lists it as uncharacterized. NCBI's taxonomy places the organism in Eukaryota, Metazoa, Chordata, Aves, Anseriformes, Anatidae. The transcript is spliced from 4 exons. The record is from RefSeq and is a predicted model, not a curated record.